AUGAGUGAGUACAUACCAUUUUUGUCUUUUUGUGACUGGGUCACCUCACUCAGGAUGGUUUCUUCUAGUUCCAUCCAUUUGCCUGUGAAUUUCGAGAUUCCAUUGUAGGUUUUUGAAAAGUAAAUAUCAUGGCCAAAAGGGAAAGUUAAUUUUUAGAAAAUAAUUUGUGAGUGAGUAAUUCAGCAGUAGGAGCUUAUGAUUCAUAGGUGGGAAACGAAGAGUGAGCAGAGCUCUUGUACAGCAGGAGAGAGUCCAGGUACGGGCUAUUGCCAAGGAUCCCUAUCUGGGGGUUAAUAAGAUGUUUUUUUUUGUUGAUGGAUGGGGAGCACAUCAGACCAUAGACCUCUCAGGUCAUUGGUCCACCUAUAAGGUGUCUAGGUGCCUCCAGUGUCUUUUGUUUGUUUGUUUUUUGGAAAUUUUUAAAAAUAAACUUUUAUUUAAAUUAAAAACAAUUUUAUUUUGUAUACCAAUCCCAGUUCCCACUCCCUCCCUCCCAUGCCCUCCCAACCCCCCUUCCCACCCCUGUCCACUCCCCAGGGAGGGUGAGGCCUCCCAUGGGGGAUCAUCAAAGUUUGACACAUUCAUCAUUUAGAGAAGGCCCUAGGCCCUAACCUGUGUAUCUAGGCAGAGAGAGAGAGAGAGAGAGAGAGAGAGAGAGAGAGAGAGAGUAUCCCUCCAUGGGGAAUGGGCUCUAGUGAAGCCACAUUAUGCAGCAGAGCACCCUUCUGCCAUUUUUGACCUCUAACCAGGACAGAACUAAGGUCAUUGACAGAUUCUGGUCAAGGAUAAGAACCAGAACAUCUUGCUUUCAAGGUUCCUCUCCCUCAUUUUGCCUGACCAAUUAUUCUAUUCUCAUCAGCAUCACCACAAUGUCCCCAUCCAUCAUGGAUGACAACCUCAUGGAAGCUGCAUCAGUAGUCCAGUUUCAGUUACCCUCUGCUUGCUCAUAUACUCUAAUAUCUUAGAAGAUUAUGUGCAGUUGUUGGGGUAUAGAAAGGAGUAAAGGCUCGAAUCCUAGGUUAAAGUCCUGUUAACCCCUGUCAUCCCUUUACUAUGGCAUGUCAACAGUUCUAUUACAGUUACUAUUGACCUUGCUAGCUCUGUAUCAUUCUGCUUAUUUAUGGCUGUGGCUGCAGAGUCAAGGUUAUCUCUGCUCUGAUAAUAGAUGUUUAAGUUGUGCCCAAAGAAAAAGUCAUACUACAGCAACUGAAAUUUGAGCAUUCUGAUGUAGAGGUGGGAGGAUUACAAGAAGUUGCAGACUAGUCUAAUCCAUUUAAGUCAAACCCUGACUCAAAUAAAUAAAACACAGCUAGUUAGCUAGAUAAACAGACAGAUAGAUGGGAAAAACAAAUUAAACAAUAGUAGUAGUUACUUUUCUAUUGCUUUGGUAUAAUAUCCUGAUCAAUGCAAUUUAAGGAAGAAAGAAUUUAUUGGACUUACAGUUUCAGAGGGAGUGGGGUACAUGGUGGCAGGAGUAGGAAGCUGAGAAUCACAUUCUCAACCACAAACAUGAAGUAGAGAGGGAACUGGAAAUAGCAAGCUAUGAACACUUAAAACCCAUUCUCAGUGAUGGAACUUCCUCCACUGUGGUGGAAUUAAUUUAAGAUGUGUUACAUUUAUUUAUGCUGUAGAAUAUUUGUUUAAUCAUGCAAAGACAUGUUACAUUUGUUUGAUUAAAUAAAAUUAACCUGGGGUCAGGUGGAUGAGUCAGCAACUAGCUGACAGGAAGUAGUAGAGAGGAACCAUGGAACCAUGUGUUGCUAGGGUUCUUACGUGGGGGAUGAGCUGAGCAAAUUAGGAGCUGAGUAGUUAGGGAGACAGGAGCUUGGAGAGAAGGUGAGCUACUUGCUCUUCAGCCUCUCUGAGUUAGCAGAAUUUCACCUCAACCUUUGAAUCCUGAGUUCUAUAAUGGGGUAGAGAUCUAAAUAAAGUUCCCUUUAGGGGUUUGUGAUUGAGCUAUUGCCUGAGGGAAUAGAAUUCCCACCUGGAUGCUACUGGCCAUUGCAGAGUUGCAAUUACCCAUUAGGUCAGCAGUUGCUUAAUGGGAAGCUACUGAAUUUAGCGAAAAACAACACUCCAUUAAAUCAGUGCUACAUCCUCAAACAGUUCCACCAACUAUGGGCCAAGAACUCAAAUAUCUGAGUCUAUGGGGGACAUCUUCAUUCAAGAUGCCACUACCACCACCACCACCACCACCACCACCACCACAACAACAACAACAACAACAAAAGUGUUAUAAUAAGAAAUAUUAUUUUGAGGAAUUAUAGUUUGUAGAAUGAUGUAAAUAAUGACUAGGCUGGAUUUAGCUGGGUUGGUUCUACUCAUUAAGAAUAUAGAAAUGCAUCUGGGUGGUUGUGGCAUGCCUUUAAUCCCAGCACUUGGGAGGCAGAGGCAGUAGAAUCUCAAUGAGUUUGAGUCCAGCCUGGUCUAGAAAGUGAGUUCCAGGCCAGCCAGGACCGUUACACAGAGUCCUGUAAAAAAAAAAAAAAAUAGAAAGGGCACAAAUGAAAAAGGGAAGUCACAAAGUUGGUGCCUGAUGGUGAUAGCGAGGUCUAAAUUUGACAAUAAAUCCUGGCAGGGAGUAUUAUGAACUAAGAGUGAACAUGUUAGCAAAAGUGGCAUUAAGAGCUCAUAAUGGGAUAGUAUCCAACUAUCCCAUUAUGGAAUACUUUAAGUCAACAUAGGCUCAGUAGCAGCGAGACUGGGGAGAUUCAAACAGAACAAAGAAGGAUAGAGUGGGCACAGGGGCCAUGGCCAUAGAGAUUUCAGACUGAAAAUUAGGUGGUAUUUAGGGAAAAGUCAUCCAUAUCGAAGGCAAAGGAAGUCAGAAAAAUCAAGUGCAAUGUGAUAUCAAAGGCAAGGUAAGAUGCUCUGGUUGCAUCAGGUUUAAUUUUCACUGAUGACCUAGAUUUACAUGGUAGAACCCUUGUUCAGUUAAUGCUUCACAGUCUUUCCCUCAUAUUGUGAACUGCAAUUGCCAGAAAAAGGUACACUUGGGGGAAAAAUUCUAUAAGUUUGAUUAAUUGACUUCGGAGAUCUAGAAUGUUACAAGUUUGAAGCCAAAAAUGUCUUGGGCUAAACUUGGCCCUCUAAAUAGACAUUUAUUGUCUAUCUCUGUGUCCUAGAAUCCUUGUGACUGUUAGGUUAAUCCUUCUGGAAUGAACAAACAGCAGUCCAGUUUCUACCAGCCCUCAAGCUAAGAAUAUAUUCAGAUAGUGUCUGAGGCCUGUGACAGAUUUCUAUGCUUUGCUUUAACCUGCCAGUUGAUGUUUCUACCAAGGUUUUUGAAAAAUGCUUUGAUUUACAACCUUUAUUCUGUUUCUAUAAAAAUAUCACAAAACUGUUACCACAUUGGAAUAUAAUAUGAAGGUAACUUGAGUCUCAGCCCUAGGCUAUGGUCACUUAUAUGUGGCUCUAGAAUGAACUCCAUUUCUUUUGAAGUGAGAGUUAUUUUUUGUAUCAAUAUGAAUCUAGUUAAUAGAGCUUAUUACAUAGACUUUUAAAAAACUUAAAUGUAUUUAAGUUUUUUAUAUCACCAUUUUAAGUGAAUAACAUUUCACUAUAAAAGAUUAUAACCAUUUUUAGGGGAUGAAAGCUAAGUCACACCAUGUAGACCAAUUUGGCUUCUGAUUCACCGACCUCUUUCCUCUUGGAUUCCUGAAUGCUGCAGUUACAGUUAUCCACCAUAUAACCAUCCUAUGACAUAACUUAGAUAAAGACAAAGCAAUGUUAUUAAGUUGUCUAUCAAAGCUUGUGCUUUUGGGAGACUCUGGUAUUGGUAUCCACCACCCAUUUAUUAAAUAUUAGAUGAUCUUGGUUUUGGAUCACUAGUGAUAAACACUAAUAACAAGUAGACUCUAUCUCUUUAAUCAGAAGAAAAUGGAAAAGGAAAGAUAACAUCUUGUUACUAUUUAAUGUUAUCUACUCUCUGGUUUAGACAAAGUAUGAAAAUUUCUCAUAUUGCACUCAAGAUCAUCUCAUGUUCCUCACAAAAAUUGUCUUAUAUAUCACAUUCUGAGAGAUGCUACUCUAUAACAAAACCUGGGACCAUGAUUUCUAUAUUUUUUAAGUCACUGUUUUAUGUGAUGUGUAUGGGUGACUUGGUUUCAUGUGUGUCUGUAUACCAUAUAUAUGCAGUGUCUGAAGGUCAGAAGAGGGUGUAAAGUCCCUUAGAAUGGGAGUUAUCUAUGAGAUCAUGGGAUCUCCUAUGACUGAAGUUAUAGAAGUUGUGAGAUACCAUAUUAGUGCUGGGAACUGAACCCUGGUCCUCUACAAGAGCAGCAAAUGCUCUUAACAGCUGUGCUAUCUCUCUCUCUCCACACACACACACACACACACACACACACACACACACACACACUUUUUCUAGAUUUUUUUUGGUAAACUCUUGAUCUGUGAAGGAAUUAUUGCUGGUCUAUGAUAUAUUUAAAAUUAAAAAAUACAUAAAAUUUCCCUAAUGUCAAGUUCAUUCCAAUUAUGAUUAUUGUGAAGGUUCUCUUAAAAUGUUUACCCAUGAAAUAAUAGUAAAUGAAGGUAUUUACCUAACUUUAUGAGAAAAUUAGACAUUUAAAUGUUUUAAAAACUUACAAAUGCCCUUGAGUCUGUUUGUUGUUGACAUUUUUGAUUGGUCCACACUAGUUUUGGAAAUCAUUGUUUAGACUUUUAACUUUGAAAAUCUGUAGAUUAUCUGGUUUUCUUUGUGUUUCCUUUGGGCACUGAGGUCUUCUAACCAGGUUUAGAGAGAGCUUCAGAGGAAUACUCAUUUGUCUGUAAGACUCCCUCCUGGGGAGUGUGGACACUCAUGUGUGAGGCAGUUCUAUCAGGGUUUGCUGGGCACCUCUGGUGGGGUUUCAGGUUCUUGUGUCUUGAAACAAGGAAUGAGAGACACUUAGGUAGCAGCAAGAAAAGUAAGAGCAUUUAUUAAGAAAGAAUAAACUUUCAAUAGAGGAAGCAGGGUAGACCAGGGGAAAAUGUCUAGAAUCUUAAAGGGAUGUGCUAUAAAAACCAUGGGAGCUUUUAUGCCUACAGACUUUGGGCUCAUUUGCAUAGCAUGGGCUUUUCCAUGCAUUCUUUUCAUGAUACAUAUAAUUUUACAUGAAUUUAUAUUUCAAUCAUUAAUUGUCUCAAAGCAUAUUAAAUCUCCACCCAAGGAGGUAAAUUUUUACUAUUAUUAGUCAUAGGUCACCUUUAGACACUUGGAAUGUCUCUGUACCUGCGCCAAUGGCUCCAGCCAGUUCUAGUGGGUUUUGAACUGGGAGUUUCCAACCUUCUUCUUUGCCAACAGGUUCUUUUAGAUGCUAGUUUUUCAGUCUUCUUUUAAAAGUUUUGGAACCCCACUCCUCAUCCUCCUAUCUUCCUCAGUAACUUCAUUGCCUUCUGUGAAUUUGUCAAGGAGGGUAUUCCAUACCUCCACCUGUAUUGAAUUCAGGGCACUUCGCAUGACAGGUAAGCAGGCCAUUGACUGUGGAUGCUUCCAGCCUGUGGUCCAUUUCUUUUAAAUGACUGUGAUGCCUUAGACUUUAGUCUCAGAUCACAUGGAGUCCCAGAGACAGAGAGUCUGUGAGCAGAAAUCAUUUUUUAAUUAAAAAGCCAUUUUAUAUUCUUCAAAUUAUAAUCUCAUGAUGACUAAAGCUAUAAUUCGUGUUUCAUUUAGGAAUUAAAAUAGAAAUCCAAAGGCAGCAAGUGAGGUAAUGCCAACUGUGUGUUGGCAUUGGCAUGAUUUCAUGUGUGUUGGCAUGAAGGGAGUUGUAAUAUUCCCAUCUUAUUCUUCAGUCUGGGGGUUCUGCUGUUGCUUCCUCAUUCAUUCCUGGCUCAGGCAAUUAGUUUCUUUUCUUUCUUCCUUUUUCUUUUUUUUUUUCUUAUGAGAGUAACUAAAAUUUGAUCAGUUGAUCAAAUAACAAUUUUUAACCUAUUUUCUCUGUUUUUCAUAUAGGUGCUUUUUCAUGGACUUUCACUUUGGUUAUUAUUAUUUGCUAUUUUCUACUUAGCUUUGGUCUGAUAUUUCUAGUUUCUUCUAAAUUCAGGGGGCAGAAGAUGUUUGAAUAUUUCUAAGUCAUUAAAGCCACACAUUUUUCUCUAAGCAUAGAAUCAACUUAUUCCUGCAUUGUAAAUAUUUUUAUUUUUCUCUAUGUAAUAGUGUGUUUGACAUCUUAUGAGUCUUUUCUAUGUGGGUAUAGACCAGUCAAGCUUGUAUUUGUUACUCUACUGACAAUACCAGAAUUGCCAUUUGAGACUUUUUUAAAGAAAGAAAUGCAUUGACAGAAAUCAUACACCAAAUAUUUCACUCUUUAAAGCAUGCAAUUCAGUAUUUCUUUUAGUAAUUUCAUAGCUUCUCAACCAUCACAACCGCCAAUUUAUGUCAUUUAUGUCAUUUUCAUUGGCAAUAGAGAAAUUCUAUUAUCACUCCCUAAGACCCUUCCCUAUCCCAACGAUCCUAUGGCCACUUGCUUUGUCAUUAGCUUUGUGUGUUCUUAAUAUGUAAGCAGAAUCAAAUAUUAUAAUAUUGUGAGCAACUUCUUUCACAUGUCCAAGGUUCAUCUAUGUGUGUUUCAAAUACUUUGUUUCUUUAUUAUUGAAUGAUAUUAUAAGAACACACUGUGUAUUCUUCAUCCAUCCAUCUGUUAAUGAACAUCUGGAUCAUUGCUAUUUUAUUCUAGAUAUUACAAUUGAUGUUCUAAGAAUAUUUUCAUGCAAGUUUUUAUAUGGACUAGUAUUUCUCUCUUGAGUGUAUGUGUAGGCGUGGAAUUAUUAGGUGAUAACUCCCAUGUUCCACUUUCUGAGAACUGCAAGAUUGCCUCUCAGCACAGUUGAGCCAUUUUAUAGUACAAUAAGCACCAUGUGUCUUUUGUAUGCAUUGUACUUCUGUAUUGAGAUUCCCUAUUUAUCAAGCUGAGGCAGCAUGAAAAGGCAGGGAAAUUGUGGGGACAUGGGAAGGGAACGAGUCCUUCAUCCUGGAGUCUGAUUAAAGCUUGGGCCAAUCAAAAGCGAAAGUCUCAGCACAAUGAAUAACAUUUGCUGUGAAGGCUGCUGAAAUUACAGUCCUGUCAUAUAUAGAUAUUAUAUAUUAAAGUAACAAUGAACCAGGUUUAGGGCCUGAAUGUAUAUGGUAUUGGGUAAGGUUUCAUUCUUCCUCAGUUAUCUCUUGAGAAUCUCACACAAAAUUCUUGACUUUACAGUGAAGACAUCUUGCCUCCCUUAUCUCUGUGUGUGAGGGUUUUACCUUAUCAAUAGUAAUCCUGACAGACAUUCCUUAACUCUGGAAACUCAUUCAAGUUUCUUCCCAAUCCUUUAAAGAUAGCAACUUCAGUCCCUACCAACAUUAUACAAGUGACUUCUGUAAACACUCGAACACAUAUACAAAAACAAAGAGCUAGAACUUCACAGCGAGUUCAUGCUCAUCCUUGGUUGAGAAACCUAUACUUAUCUAGCAACUCUGUUUCAUAAACUGUCCAGUUUUGAAAUUAUUUUCUGCAGUGAAGCCAUGACUGCCACUUUAGCUUUAGUUAAGGUCCCUAAAAGUCUAGGAGUCUGCUCAGGCUGCUGAAGAUGACACUGUGGAGAUGUCUCCUGUCUCCUGUAUAUGUCACCUAAAUAUUGACAAAGUCACUGUCAUCAUCACAUUUUCAAUACCUUAUUUUAGUGUGUGUGUGUGUGUGUGUGUGUGUGUGAGAGAGAGAGAGAGAAGAUAGAGAGAGAGAGAGAGAGAGAGAGAGACCUUUUAAAAUCCUUUUUUUACUAACUCCAAGAUCUGGGUCCACUCAGCUAUUUUUUUUAUUGCCUUUUUGUCCCCCUGAGAAGAAUCCACACUUUGUUACUUCAAAGUUUCAUUUAUUCUUAGUGUUGAAAUAUGAACUUACUUAUGUCAAGAAUUCCAGCAACUCUGGGAUCUGAGCUUAUUUUCCUGAGGGUUUUUUUUUUUUUUUUUUUUUUUUAAGUUUUAUACUAGGACUUGGUGUUUGGUAGCUGAUGUCUCUACUUUUCAUUUUAUCUUUGUUGUGUCAAGUGUGACUGUCCAGGUGUCGCCCCACUGUACGCACAGCUUACUGUUCUGCUGGAGUUCAUGAGGAGUUCAGGUAGAACAUGCAAAGCUAGCUAGCCCUGCUUUUAUCCACUGGACACUAAGUAAGUUCUCUUUUCUGUUUGAGCAGAGAUCUAUGAAGUGCCUAACUCUCACAGCUCUUCCUGGAAACACUUACCUCCUCUAAAUUCCAUCAACUUUGAAAGAAGACAAGAAACCUUUACUGGCUUUACUUCUACUUGUGCCCACCUCUCUCACUGACUACAAAUCGUUGGAAGUGAUGCAGCCUGAUGAAGACAGCUUGAAGACUCUUCUGUAGCAAUUGCCUCCAACUGAGACACUCCCUCCAGGAGGGAGGAGAAAGGUACAGGAGACUUGGCAAGUAAACAAAUGUCCAAAGUCUGGAAAAGCUGCAGCACAGUACACAAGACCCUUUGCCAAUGCCACCCAGGUUAGAGAUGCUUAAACAGUUGGUAAGAAGAGACUCUUUUCCUAUGACCGGUCUGCCUGUGGGAGACUUCCCAGUGUGUGGAGCUUCCUGCAAGCCCUACUGCGAGCUUCGAAGAUGUUGAUUGUGAGCUGUUAGCCAGGUAGGAGUGGACUUUUUGGUGGUGCUGCUGUCUUUGAGUCAUCCACACUCCUAGAGGUGUUUUCCUAUUCAUACUCCUGUAAGUAACCCCCAAAGAAGCACAUUGGUUCACACAACAUACUCCAUAUUCAUUUGUAAACAUACUUCUGCCAACCAGUCACUUGUUACUAAAUAUUUCUUAAGCAUCUAUUGGGUAGUGAGCACCGUGGCUAUGGAAGCAAAACAGACAGGCUCUCCCAAAGGUACAUUCUUUAGGGAAUCACCAGAUAUAAACUGAUUGACAAGCAUAAAUAAUACCAGAAGUGAUUAGCAUUAUUCAAGGUUCUCACAAGAAACAGAGAUAAUGGAAUAGAUAGAUAGAUAUUUUUAUGAUUUAAAGGUUCCAGAAUAUACCAUCAUCAAUCUAGAGACCAAGGGGAGCCAGUGUCAUCACUCAAGCCUGAUACUGGGGGGCUCAGUUUUAAGCACAGGAAAAGGAUGGAUAGUGCAGCUAAAGGGAAAGAACCGUGUUUUCUUUCUUUGUUUCAGUUUCCUUGUGUAUACAAAGAUGCCUGCCAACAUCACUGAAGAUGACUUUCUUUACUCAGAAUCUAAUCCAAAUGUUCAACUCUUCUAGAAACACCUUCACAGUCACACCCAAGAAGAAAACUUCAUUUUCUGCCUGGGCAGAAAUAUGUCCUUACCUUCCAAUAAUUAGUAUCAAAGGAAAUAAUUUAAAAUGUUUAGUAAGAGACAGAGCAACUAAUUGGACUAAAGAAUUCAAGGGUGUGCCUUUAAUAAGAUCCACAUAACUUUAAGGACACACAGUAUAAAAACGAAGAGAUAAACAGAAAUAUUCUAUGCAAAUGAUAACCAAAGGAGAACAUCAAUUGUUGCACACAUAUCAGCUAAGUUAAACUUAAAGUUAAAGAUGGUAAAAUAGACAAAGCUGCCAUUAUACAAUAAAAAGGGGGUCAAGUCAUUAAGAUGAUAGGCUAGUUGGAAAUACUUAUAUUCCCAGCUAUAGCUACUUGAAAUAUACAAUAAUUAAAUAAGUGAAUAUUAUGAAAAUAGAAGAAGAAAUAAACUCCAAUCAAAUACAGGAAUAAACUCCAACAAUAGAGGCAGAAUUUAAUACUCCCCCCCAAUGGUGGACAGACCAUUCAUACAAAAAUUCAAGGGUUAAAUAAUGAACUUGAACCAUGAACCAAAUGGACCCUAUGGUAUAAUGCAGAACAUUCCAUCCAACUUCAACAGAAAAUAAAAUAUUGUCAAGCACAUCCAGAGCAUUUUUCAGAAUAGAUAAUAUGCUAGUGUACAAAACAAUCUUUAAAUUCAAUAAGAUUGAAAUUAAAUCAAAUGUCUUUUUCUGAUCUCGAAGAUGUGUAACUAAAAGGUAGUGACAGGAAAUAAAUUGGAAGUGUUGCAAAUGUGGAAAAUAAACAGUAUACACUCCCAAACCACCAAUGAGUCAGAUUAAAACUCAAAGGGGAAGUAAAAAAACAUCACUAGACAAAUGAAAAUGGAAAUGCAACAUAACAAUACAGGACACCGCACAAAGUAUCCUAGAAGGGAUAAUGUGUACGUGAAGAGACAAAAUUACUUCAAACAUACACCCUAGCUGAACAACUCAGAAACUAGGAAAAGGAAAACAAACUGCAGCUGGAGGUAGCAGAAUAGAAGAAAUAAUGAUGUUUAAGGAGGAACAAAUGAAACAGAAAAUAGGAACUAGAAAACUUAGAAAAAAUGAACAAAACAGAUUUGGCACUUUGGAAGGAAGGAAACUGAAAACCUUAGAUGGAUGAAAAAAUAUGGAUGUUUAACAUAAAAUUAUAAACUAAAGAGAAGGCAUUGCAAUUAAUAAUGGAAAUAAAAGAGACACUACUGUCAACAAAUACCCACCGUGAACUAUCAUCUAUAAGAAAUGGAUACAUUCCUAGAAAUGGACAACUCACUAAAGAUAAAUCUUAAACAGAAAAUCUGAACAGACAGCAAAUAUUGGUGAGUAACUAGAUGGCAUAAACAAUAACAAUGAUAAUAAUAAUAGUAGUAAUAAUAAAAAUCUCUGAAAAGAGAAUCUAGGUUCACAAUACUUUGCUGGUGAGUUCUGUCAAACAUCUAAAGAACUAACUCUUACCCAUAUCGAACCCUUUUAAAAGCUUGAAGAAAAGGAACUAUUUUACAAUUCAUCCAGUAGGCUAUUAGAAAAAGUUAAAUGAAGACAUUACAACCAAAGUUACAGACCAGUGUUCUUAGGAAACAUGGAAUACAUGCAGAAUGUUCUUAGUUGCAGCAUGCUGUCCACCAGCACCAAGACAAGCUGGAAGGUAGAUUAUAAGCAAAUAUGAUCUACAUCAGAGAUGAAAGGAUAGUUCCACAUGUGCCAGUCAGUAAACAUGCAGUUCAUUAACACAAUGGAAAAGCCAUAUGAUCAUCUUCAAAAAAGCAAAAAAAAAAAAAAAAAAAAACCCACAAAAAAUUCAGUCUCACAACAAAAACUUUGAUGGAGACUGUACCUCAGAACACUAAAGACUGAAAAGCUGUAUACGGCCAGCCUACAGCUAGCAUCGCAUUCUCUCGAAAAGCAGAAAGCUUUCCCUCUACAGUCAGGAACCAGAGGACCUGCUCUCACUGAUUCUAAUCUGUAUGGUUUUGGUAAUCCCAUCCAGAUCAACUAAGAAAACCUAAGAAAAACAUUCAAAUAGGAAAAGUGGUAUGGGUACUUAGUGUGGUGGAGAGGGAUUUGAGCCCCAACACUGAAAACAGAAUAAAACAAACGAACAAAAAGUACUAAGUAUAGUUGUUUCUCUUUAGAAUGACAUUGUAUGAGAUAUAAAUAAUCUUGAAACUCCACCCAAACACUGUAAGAAUUAAUAAAUCCAGUAAACUUGUAGACUAAAAUAACAUAUACAGUCAGGCAAAUGCUUAUGUACUAACAGUAACUGCCUAAUAAUCGAAUAAAGAAAAUAACCCCAUUUAUAGUAGUGUGAACAAAAAUAAAAUGUUUUGUAAUAAAUUGAAUUAAAUUCUUUUUGAGUCAGAUUUAUUUAUUGAAAAGUAUAACAUUGAUGGAAGAAAGUAAAUAAGACACAAAUCAAUGGGAAGGUGUUUUAUGCUCAGGAAUUAGACAAGUUAAUAUUGUUAAAAUAUCCAGUGUACCCAAAGUAAACUAUAAAUUUCUCAGUAGUUCAAGGAAAUUCCAGUGACAUUUUCCACAGAAUAGAAAAAAAAUCUCAGUAUGUAUAAAAGUCCCCUAUAGCCACAGAAAUCUUGAGAAGGAUAACACAACUAGAGGCUCAUUAAUCUACUAUCUAAAAACACAUUACAAAGCUAUAAUGAUUGGCACAGUAUGGUGUGUGUACAGUCGACCAAUGGAGCAGAAUUGGUCAUACAAAUAAAACUACCAUUUUAUGAUCAACUGAUAUUUGACACAGCUCCAAGAAUACACAGUAGAGAACAGAUAAUCUCUGCAGCAAGUAGUGUUGGGAAAACUAGAUAUCCACAUGAAAAUAAUGAAAUCGGAUCCUUGUGUUAUACAUUCAUGAAAAUUAAAAUCAGUUCCAAGGCUUAAAGCAUAAGUACUGACACCAUAAAACUCCUAAAAGAAAACCAGGAGGAAGCUUCUAAACUUUGAUUUUGGCAAUGGUGGUUUUAUUUUUGAAUUUUGUUUACUACAACAGAAGCUCAGGCAGCAAAAGAAAAAUAAGCCAGCAAGACCCUUGCCCUGGUUAGGAUUACUAUUGCUGUGAUGAAACACAACGACCAAAUGCAGCUUGAGGAGGAAAGUUUAGUCAGCUUACACAUCAUAGUCUAUCAUUCAACUCCAGCAGGGCAGGAACCUGGAGGCAGGAACUGACACCGAGGCCAUGGAGGAGUGCUGCCUACUAACUUGCUCCUCAUGGCUUGCUCAGCUUCUUCUAGAACCCAAGACCAGAGAUGGCACCACCCACAAUGGGCUGGGUUCUCCCCCAUCAAUCACUAAUUAAGAAAAUUCCCUAUAGGUUUGUCUACAACCGGAUCUUAUUGAGACAUUUUCUUAACUAAGGUUCCUUUCUCUCAGAUGAUUUUAGCUUGUAGCAUGUUGACGUAAAACUAGCCAGCACAGUCCUGAAAACUAAAAGUUUUGGCACUGAGAAAAAAAAAAGAUGUAAAAAAAAAAA
Non-coding RNA from Cricetulus griseus (Chinese hamster), 12745 nucleotides. The record is from RefSeq and is a predicted model, not a curated record. NCBI's taxonomy places the organism in Eukaryota, Metazoa, Chordata, Mammalia, Rodentia, Cricetidae.